This 536-nucleotide long non-coding RNA is filed under the name Ovis aries (sheep). RNAcentral describes it as "lncRNA (ENSOARG00000026193.1)". The record is from RNAcentral. Lineage: Eukaryota; Metazoa; Chordata; Mammalia; Artiodactyla; Bovidae.
AUGGCACAGUGUAAAACUGAGCACCAGUCACAGCCCACGAACCCAGCCCUACCCACACUGGUGUUUUACCACCACAACCCGGGCCGCCUGCUUAGACCCGGAGCUGCACUUUUGCCUCCCUGCCCUGGAGUUGCAGGCGCACGUCCACUCCUGCCUUCCUUCCUGCUGCCUGGGGCCCCUGGCCCGCCCACUCAGCUUCCCUUCUUCUGCCAGGGUCCUGGCUCCAGGAGGUACCUGCCUCUCCUGCCCCCAUGGAUAAGCACACAAGCCCCUCUCAUGCUCCUGUGCUUUCUCUUCUCCACGUUAUCACCACUGCAACCAGAUGUCUCCAUGGCAGUGCUCUGAGGUCUCUCUCCUCUCAAUCCCAAGGUCAAUGAAGGUAGGAGGCACAUCUGCAGUGUCUACCACUCUAUCCCCCAGGCCAUCACGUUGACUGAGGUCUUGAGGGACUUCAUAAUAUUUGUGGCAUGAAUGAAUCUGUAACCACAGGAAUAAUCAUCCCUUAAAAGUCAAAUUGCAAUAAAAGAAAGCAAUUU